AACGAACGCUGGCGGCAGGCCUAACACAUGCAAGUCGAGCGGACCCUUCGGGGUUAGCGGCGAACGGGUGAGUAACGCGUGGGAAUAUGCCCUUCUCUACGGAAUAGUCCUGGGAAACUGGGGGUAAUACCGUAUACGCCCUUUGGGGGAAAGAUUUAUCGGGGAAGGAUUAGCCCGCGUUGGAUUAGGUAGUUGGUGGGGUAAUGGCCUACCAAGCCGACGAUCCAUAGCUGGUUUGAGAGGAUGAUCAGCCACACUGGGACUGAGACACGGCCCAGACUCCUACGGGAGGCAGCAGUGGGGAAUCUUAGACAAUGGGGGCAACCCUGAUCUAGCCAUGCCGCGUGAGUGAUGAAGGCCUUAGGGUUGUAAAGCUCUUUCAGCUGGGAAGAUAAUGACGGUACCAGCAGAAGAAGCCCCGGCUAACUCCGUG
RNAcentral lists this ribosomal RNA (433 nucleotides) under uncultured bacterium. Its description in RNAcentral is "partial 16S ribosomal RNA". It matches the Rfam family "Bacterial small subunit ribosomal RNA", at positions 29 to 507 of the family's 1533-position model. The record is from RNAcentral.